RNAcentral lists this ribosomal RNA (850 nucleotides) under uncultured crenarchaeote. RNAcentral's name for it is "bacterial SSU rRNA". It matches the Rfam family "Archaeal small subunit ribosomal RNA", at positions 71 to 922 of the family's 1478-position model. Lineage: Archaea; Thermoproteati; Thermoproteota. The record is from RNAcentral.
AGCAUACAAGGCAGACGGCUCAGUAACGCGUAGUCAACCUAACCUAUGGACGGGAAUAACCUCGGGAAACUGAGAAUAAUGCCCGAUAGAACACUAUAUCUGGAAUGGUUUGUGUUCCAAAUGAUUUAUCGCCGUAGGAUGGGACUGCGGCCUAUCAGUUUGUUGGUGAGGUAAUGGCCCACCAAGACUAUUACAGGUACGGGCUCUGAGAGGAGUAGCCCGGAGAUGGGUACUGAGACACGGACCCAGGCCCUAUGGGGCGCAGCAGGCGAGAAAACUUUGCAAUGUGCGAAAGCACGACAAGGUUAAUCCGAGUGGUUUGUGCUAAACGAACCUUUUGUCGGUCCUAGAAACACCGAUGAAUAAGGGGUGGGCAAGUUCUGGUGUCAGCCGCCGCGGUAAAACCAGCACCUCAAGUGGUCAGGAUGAUUAUUGGGCCUAAAGCAUCCGUAGCCGGCGCUGUAAGUUUUCGGUUAAAUCUGUACGCUCAACGUACAGGCUGCCGGGAAUACUGCAGCGCUAGGGAGUGGGAGAGGUAGACGGUACUCGGUAGGAAGGGGUAAAAUCCUUUGAUCUAUUGAUGACCACCUGUGGCGAAGGCGGUCUACCAGAACACGUCCGACGGUGAGGGAUGAAAGCUGGGGGAGCAAACCGGAUUAGAUACCCGGGUAGUCCCAGCUGUAAACUAUGCAAACUCAGUGAUGCAUUGGCUUGUGGCCAAUGCAGUGCUGCAGGGAAGCCGUUAAGUUUGCCGCCUGGGAAGUACGUACGCAAGUAUGAAACUUAAAGGAAUUGGCGGGGGAGCACCACAAGGGGUGAAGCCUGCGGUUCAAUUGGAGUCAACGCCGGA